This 497-nucleotide ribosomal RNA is filed under the name uncultured bacterium. RNAcentral's name for it is "partial 16S ribosomal RNA". It matches the Rfam family "Bacterial small subunit ribosomal RNA", at positions 28 to 507 of the family's 1533-position model. The record is from RNAcentral.
GAUGAACGCUGGCGGCGUGCCUAAUACAUGCAAGUCGAGCGAACAGACGAGGAGCUUGCUCCUCUGACGUUAGCGGCGGACGGGUGAGUAACACGUGGAUAACCUACCUAUAAGACUGGGAUAACUUCGGGAAACCGGAGCUAAUACCGGAUAAUAUAUUGAACCGCAUGGUUCAAUAGUGAAAGACGGUUUUGCUGUCACUUAUAGAUGGAUCCGCGCCGCAUUAGCUAGUUGGUAAGGUAACGGCUUACCAAGGCGACGAUGCGUAGCCGACCUGAGAGGGUGAUUGGCCACACUUGAACUGAGACACGGUCCAAAAUCCUAAGGGAGGCAGCAGUAGGGAAUUUUCCGCAAUGGGCGAAAGCCUGACGGAGCAACGCCGCGUGAGUGAUGAAGGUCUUCGGAUCGUAAAACUCUGUUAUUAGGGAAGAACAAAUGUGUAAGUAACUAUGCACGUCUUGACGGUACCUAAUCAGAAAGCCACGGCUAACUACGUG